UGACAACAGACGGCUUGGAAUUUAAUGGAAAUAAUAAGUGUUUGAAUUGCUUUCACAAGGUGACCCACUCCUUUGUAUUUUGUUACAACCAAUCAGUGAGUUUAUACAUAUUAUGUCUUCCUAGUUCUUAUUGUAUGUACGUUUUUAUUUUUCUUGUUGCAUGGCAAGUGAAAAUAUACAAUAGUUACGACAGAUAUCUGAAGAUAUCUAACCCUAAUAUUUAAUGUAAUAUUUUGAUGACUAUCUCAAGCUUAGAUUUUUUUUUUACUGACUCGGGAGCUUCUCCAUGUUCGUGGGACCUAUACGUUUGAAAUUGAUGUCUGAUUCCAAUCAAGCGCAAAGCUUGGAUUAAAUUAUAUAGUUCCUGAGGCUGCUAGUCGUUCUGUGAAUUUUGUAUUAUAAUUCCAUUCGCGUCUAGGUUGCUAGAUGUAAGGAUCUCAUUAAAAUUCUCCCAGCCACUUGAAGUAUUUACAGUUUUCGUCAGAAUAUUUUUUUUAAUGUAUUUCUGAUGCAAUUUUGUAUGCUGAUGACAAAAAUCGUAUUCAUUUGCUUUUCUUUUCCUAUAGAACUUAUUUAUAAGGAAGUUAACACUUUGAAUGGUUGGAGAAAAUUUUAAAAGGUCUUUACAUCGCUGUUAAAUCAGUGGUACUCGAUUUUAUUAUAUCAACUCCAAAAGUAGGAAAGUUGAAGCUGAUAUUGGAGGAAUUUGAAUUGAGAACAUAAAAGCCGCAAGCAUUUCAUUAGAUGCCCUUCACCAGUCCUACUUAAAGUGGUGAUCCGCGAGCCAUCAGCUGCCAGUACGCGGUGAGUUUCCAGAAAAGAAACAUUAUAGAAUGCUUAUACAAUGCUUAUGUAAUAUUGUAUUAUUUGUUUACGAAAUAAAUACAAGAUAAAAAAUUGUCAACUUUUAUUAUAUUCAUUAUAUAUAUAUCGUUUCCGAUAUAAAUUAGUAUUGCUAAUAUUUCCUGUCUACGCCCUACACAAUUUUGCAAUCCACUGCUUCUUGUUAGUUUUCAGAUGAAGGAAUAGUUUCACUCCACUAUUUUGAAGUUUGACGUAAAGUUUUUUUGCUGUCUUGAAUGAUAUAUGUACGUGCAUGUGUAUGGACGCAUUGAAUUAUAUGUAUACUUCCUUUAUUACUCUUUUCUGUUUUACUUGUUUCAGUCAUUGGAUUGCGGUUUUGGGAGGGGCACCGACUUGAAGUGUUUAGUCGAACAGAUCGACUACAGUACUUAGGAAACAAAAAAUCCGGUACUUUUUG
Molecule: long non-coding RNA, 1261 nt
Filed under: Octopus vulgaris (common octopus)
Lineage: Eukaryota; Metazoa; Mollusca; Cephalopoda; Octopoda; Octopodidae
Source: RNAcentral